Molecule: long non-coding RNA, 3561 nt
Filed under: Mus musculus (house mouse)
Lineage: Eukaryota; Metazoa; Chordata; Mammalia; Rodentia; Muridae
Description: cDNA sequence BC048559
Source: RNAcentral
AUUUGCCUAAGUGAGGCAGGUUGGCAAACACCCAGGCUCUGCUCUGACUGUAACUGGCUACCACCUACUGAGCAUGUCUCCAUCCUCUUGGCUAUGGCUGGGCAGACAUUGUCUCUCCUGUGUGUGCGGGCUAAUUCCCUCAACGCAAGAUACUAAGUCAUGGCUGGCUCAUCACACUGGCUCGCUAUGAAGUGGAGUCUACUAGAGUCCCCAGAGUAUGAGAAGGUCCCCUCGAGACCCUCGAAUAAUUGAACCUGCUGGACAGGUCAAGUGGCGCCCAACGUGGGGCACGGGGUACUACCGCCCUCUGGACAACGGAUUAAAGAGGUACCACACAGACAGUGAGAUAGUGGGACAGUCCCCCGCCACUUCGCUCGAGUGUCGCAGAUGGACGUCGGAGAGCUCAAGUGACCUUCUCAGUCAAACCGUUCACAUUGCGAGCUGCUGGCGGCUGCAACAUUUUGGCGCUUGAACAGGGACCUGAAGAAUGGCAGAGGGAGGCUAAGAGAAAUGCUGCUGCUGUGGAGCUCCACAGGAAAGGAUCUUCGUAUCGGGCAUCGGAGCAACGGACAGGAUUGCCAUGGACAGAUCUCUCACAAUAUUGAUGAUGCUGGUCAUGACGGCGACAGCCAGGCAAGCCCAGACCUAUCAGGUUUUUAACUAUAACUAGAUUAUUCAAAAUCAGGCUGGAGACAUAGUUAACUCCAGCUCCAAGAUUGGUGACGAGCCCCAUUGGCCCAAGUUAGAAGUAGACAUCUGUGUCCUCACAUUGGGUGCAGAUGCCGCCUGGGGCACCCCUGAUUAUUAUAUGCCUCAAUUAACAGCAGUUAACACAGGUGAUAAAAAGACUGAUUCAGGUUACAGCAGUGAUAUACGUCGUACUGCCCUGGCCUUACACACUGGAGGUAUAUAUGUGUGUCCAGGAACUCAUCGAGAUAGAUCUCUAAAUUAUAAAUGUGGCUAUGAAAAUGAUUUUUUAUUGCGCCUCUUGGGGCUGUGAAACCACUGGAGAUACCUAUUGGACUCCAUCCUCCUCUUGGGAUUAUAUUACAGUUAAAUGACUUUACCCCAAUUCCAAAGUUACCUCCCCUGGAAAACAACCCCUUAAUAGCUAUUGUUCCCCCAAUUCUUCUAGACAAGGGUGGUGCAACCCAUUACAAAUUGGCUUUACAACAGCCGCAAGGACUGCUGACUGGACCAAGAGAGGAUUCUCUUGGGGGUUGCACACAUAUAAAGAGGGCACAGAUUGGGGAUUGACCUUCAAGAUUAAACUACAAAAGGAAAUCCCCAACAAAUAUAAAGCAUCUAUAGGACCUAACCCCCAAUUACAUCACCCUAAUUCCCCAAACAAUCCCAGGUACCCGCCUCCUGUUCCUGCCCCAGGGCAUACUACGACCCUAUUUCAGCCCACUCUCCCUGUGGUCUAUAUUAAAUGCUUCUGCUUUAGCCUUGCUGGAUAAGACACAAAGAGAUAAUGCGUCAGAAUUUAAAGAUUGUUGGAUGUGCUUUUCUGCUUCCCCGCCCUUUUAUGAGGGCAUAGCCUGAUUUGGAAAUUUUACCCUGCUUUCAGAUGCUAGGCAGCUUCCCUUCGAGUCAGUUCAGCUUACCUUGACAAAACUCUCUGGGAUAGGAAGUUGUGUGUUGGGCCCAGAUGUGCUUCCACCAUGGUCCUUGCUAGAAAUUUGCAAUAACACGUUUAGAGUAAAUAAAAAUAGGUAUUCUUAUCUUCUUGCCCCAAAUGAUACCUUUUUGGCAUGUUCCACAGGCCUUACACGGUACAUUAUUAUACAAGAUUUUAUAAAUAAUAGAGAUUAUUGUGUCUUGGUCCAGCUUUUUCCAAAUUUUAGUAUUCAUAAGACAGAUGACUUAUUAACGUUUUGGGACCAAUGUGCCUCCUUGCUAUCCCUCCACAAAAGAGAGCCUAUCUCGGCGGUGAGCCUUGCGGUCCUUCUUGGCCUGGGUGCUGCUAGGACCAGGACCAGAAUCACAGCCCUUGUGUCAUCUCAACAGAAUGCGUGCAAUUACCAUCUGCUCAACGAGGCUAUUAGCCAAGAUAUAGAAAAUAUAAAAAAGGGCCUAGAUGAUCUUACUGAUUCCUUGGUCUCCCUUUCAGAAGUUGCCCUUCAAAAUAGAAGGAAAUUAGAUUUGCUCUUUCUACAACAAGGAGGCUUAUGCGCUGCACUUAAGGAAGAAUGCUGCGUAUAUGUUGAUAAAACUGAAUUAGUUAAAGAUAGCAUUGCCAAGGUUACUGCCAGUUUAAAAAAAGAAAAAGAGAGAGAGAACAACAAGAGUCAUGGUAUUAACAUUUGUUUUCAACCUCCCCCUGGCUUUCGACCUUGUUGUCCUCCCUUUUGGGGCCCUUAUUGGGACUCCUAUUAUUGAUUUCCUUUGGUCCUUGGGCAUUUCAAAAAUUGACCCGAUUUGUUAAAUCUCAAAUUGAUUCAUCUCUUUCAAGUGCAUUUGUUUCAGUUCAUUACCAUCGGAUGGACGUUGGCGAUAACAAGCAGGUUACUAGAAAAGUCAGAUGUAGAUGCUGCUUCAUCACCCUCAUCUCGGGGAGAGAGACUCAAUUUCCAUAAAAUGCCUAAAUAAGAUCAUUCCCCUCCCCCUAAAUUCGGCCAUCAGUCUCAUGCCACAAAUCAUUUAUAGACUGCCGUAGUCUGUGCUUCUGACAUGGUAAUAUACAUUCUUGCCACAUUGGAAGCUAAACAGUCAUCCCAGGCUAGACACAUUGAAAAAAAUUGGAACUUGAAGCAAUCGCCCGUGAGAGUUGUAAGACUAAGUACUGCACAGAGAUUAGUCUAGAAGCUGUUAGACAGUUUCUUAGAGGCAUGUCUAAUUGCAUGAAGGUUGAGUGCCCUAGGGUCCUUCACCCAAGAAAAACUGCACAGGAGCAGGUCAGGGUCACUCUGGGUAAAAAUCUGUGGGCCUGAGAGUCAAUCCUGUACAUGGCCCCUAACAUUACACACUGGGGAUCAGACCUCUACCUCUACCCAUGGAGCUUGCUUCAUUCCUAAAUCCCUUGGCUGGCCCAGGUUAUACCCAACAGACUGGGACCAUUAAUUCAAGCCUAAUAGAUGACUUGUCCUUGUGUCCGUAGUGGUUUUAGAGAAUCACCCGGUGAGCAAACAGACACUUAGGCUAUCGUUAAAACGUGGCUACAAAUUUAUUAUCCAAUAUGCCUUUAUAAAAAUAUUAAAACGGGGGAGAUGUUGGGAGCUAUUAAGAUAACACUAUUGUCCUGAUCUCUAAAUUGGGCCUCUCCCCCCGAGAAGAAAAGGGGAUCAAAAGUGGGCCACCGACACACCGAUUCUGAGAACAACCACAGAAUGUUCCAGCCCUAAGUCAUCACCGAUGUCCUGACCACACCCUGAUACCACCAAGUUCCUGCUUCCCCAUGUAGCUGCCAAAAGAAAGAAUUUCUAUUGCCCCCCUCCCACUAAUAAGUACUUCUCCCUUUGCUUGUAUUGCCCCACCCGUCCCGCUGAUAAGUAUCUGUACUUCCCCUUUUGCUUGUGCAUUUAAGCCUUGGGCCUUUCUCAAUAAGUGGGGUCUUGAUGC